Molecule: small RNA, 708 nt
Filed under: Russula sp. HMAS 276794
Lineage: Eukaryota; Fungi; Basidiomycota; Agaricomycetes; Russulales; Russulaceae
Description: eukaryotic LSU rRNA
Rfam family: 5.8S ribosomal RNA (bases 251-404)
Source: RNAcentral
CCCUGGAAGUAAAAAAUCGUAACAAGGUUUCCGUAGGUGAACCUGCGGAAGGAUCAUUAUUGUACAAUCGAGGUGCAAAGGCUGUCGCUGACCCCUCAAGGGUGUUGUGCACGCCCGAGCGCUCUCGCCCAAUCCAUCUCACCUUUGUGCAUCACCGCGUGGGCCCCCCUUUGCGGGGAGGGCUUGCGUUUUCACAUAAAACUUGAUACGGUGUAGAAUGUUUUCUUUUGCGGUCGCACGCAAUCAAUACAACUUUCAACAACGGAUCUCUUGGCUCUCGCAUCGAUGAAGAACGCAGCGAAAUGCGAUACGUAAUGUGAAUUGCAGAAUUCAGUGAAUCAUYGAAUCUUUGAACGCACCUUGCGCCCCUUGGCAUUCCGAGGGGCACACCCGUUUGAGUGUCGUGAAAUCUUCAAAACCCUUUUUCUUCUUUGAUCCAUUUUUUUUUUGGUCGGGGAAAAGGAUUUUUGGACUUGGAGGUUUAAUGCUUGCCCUCUCUUUUGAAAGUGAGCUCCUCUCAAAUGAAUCAGUGGGGUCCGCUUUGCUGAUCCUUGACGUGAUAAGAAUGUUUCUACGUUUUGGGUUUAGCGCUGUCCCUCGGACAUCUGCUUCUAACUGUCUCAUUGAUGACACGAAAAGAAAAACCUUGACCUCAAAUCGGGUGAGACUACCCGCUGAACUUAAGCAUAUCAAUAAGCCGGAGGAAAA